This 389-nucleotide ribosomal RNA is filed under the name uncultured Nitrospina sp. RNAcentral describes it as "bacterial SSU rRNA". It matches the Rfam family "Bacterial small subunit ribosomal RNA", at positions 29 to 410 of the family's 1533-position model. Lineage: Bacteria; Pseudomonadati; Nitrospinota; Nitrospinia; Nitrospinales; Nitrospinaceae. The record is from RNAcentral.
AACGAACGCUGGCGGCGUGCCUAACACAUGCAAGUCGAACGAGAAAGUUUCCUUCGGGAAACCAGUAAAGUGGCGCAAGGGUGAGUAACACGUGAAUAAUCUGCCUACGAAUUCGGGAUAACUCGACGAAAGUUGUGCUAAUACCGGAUAAGACCACACUUCCUAUGGAGCGUGGCCAAAGGAGCCUCAAGCUCCGUUUGUAGAUGAGUUCGCGGACCAUUAGCUUGUUGGCGGGAUAACAGCCCACCAAGGCGACGAUGGUUAGCCGGCCUGAGAGGGUGAUCGGUCACACUGGAACUGAGACACGGUCCAGACUCCUACGGGAGGCAGCAGUGGGGAAUAUUGGACAAUGGGCGCAAGCCUGAUCCAGCAAUGCCACGUGUGUGAAG